This 253-nucleotide ribosomal RNA is filed under the name uncultured bacterium. RNAcentral describes it as "partial 16S ribosomal RNA". It matches the Rfam family "Bacterial small subunit ribosomal RNA", at positions 524 to 776 of the family's 1533-position model. The record is from RNAcentral.
UACGUAGGGGGCAAGCGUUGUCCGGAAUCAUUGGGCGUAAAGCGCGCGUAGGCGGCCCGGUAAGUCCGUUGUGAAAGUCAAAGGCUCAACCUUUGAACGCCGAUGGAUACUGCCGGGCUAGAGUCCGGAAGAGGCGAGUGGAAUUCCUGGUGUAGCGGUGGAAUGCGCAGAUAUCAGGAGGAACACCAAUAGCGAAGGCAGCUCGCUGGGACGGUACUGACGCUGAGGCGCGAAAGCGUGGGGAGUGAACAGG